RNAcentral lists this ribosomal RNA (468 nucleotides) under uncultured bacterium. Its description in RNAcentral is "partial 16S ribosomal RNA". It matches the Rfam family "Bacterial small subunit ribosomal RNA", at positions 28 to 507 of the family's 1533-position model. The record is from RNAcentral.
GACGAACGCUGGCGGCGUGCUUAACACAUGCAAGUCGAACGGAAAGGCCCUGCUCUUGUGGGGUGCUCGCGUGGCGAACGGGUGUGUAACACGUGAGUAACCUGCCCUCGACUUUGGGAUAACUUCUGGAAACUGGGGCUAAUAACCGACAUGAGCUUCCGCUCCACGGUGGGGGUUGGGAAGUUUAGGCGGUUGGGGAUGGACAUGCGGCUAAUCAGCUUGUUGGAGGGGUAGUGGCUUACCAAGGCUUUGAAGGGUAGCCGGCCUGAGAGGGGGACCGGCGACAUUGGUACUGAGAUACGGCCCAGUCUGCUACGGGAGGCAGUAGUGGGGAAUAUGACGCAAUGAGCGGAAGCCAGAUGCGGCAGCGCCGCGUGCGUAAUGACGGCCUUCGGGUUGAAAACCGCUUUCACCUGUGACGUUGCGGGAGUGACGGUAAUGAGUAAGGAAGCACCGGCUAACUACGUG